AAUUCCACAAUGAGGAAUUAAAACUAGGUGUUCAUGGAGAACACAGAAGAAUGUCAGCCACCUUUAACUAGACUUGAAUACAAAUAAAAUUUAAGAUUUUACAUUUGAGAUGCUGAAGAGUCCCAAUGUGAUAACUGUCUUCAAUCAAUUAUAAGGACACUAGUACAAGAAAAUAUACAUCCUGGCUUAAAUUAGUGUAGAGCAAGAAGAGGACAUAGAAAUUGGCCCACUUAAAAGAAAAAUGCAGAUUCAAUAUUAUAAAGGGAUUUCUGAGAGCUCCAUCAUGGAACUGAGAAAGCCUACAUGAAGCCUGGAGUUCCAUUUAGAGAAGGGGAAAUUGGGAGACAGAAACACACACAGACAAAAGAUAGUCAUGUGAAGAUGGAGGAGUAUCAGGUGAUACAUCUACAAGUGGAGGAAUACCAAGGACUGCAGGCAAUCCAUCAGAAACUGGAAAAGG
Long non-coding RNA from Canis lupus familiaris (dog), 460 nucleotides. RefSeq lists it as uncharacterized. Lineage: Eukaryota; Metazoa; Chordata; Mammalia; Carnivora; Canidae. The record is from RefSeq and is a predicted model, not a curated record. The transcript is spliced from 3 exons.